This 355-nucleotide unclassified non-coding RNA is filed under the name Hevea brasiliensis (rubber tree). Lineage: Eukaryota; Viridiplantae; Streptophyta; Magnoliopsida; Malpighiales; Euphorbiaceae. The record is from RNAcentral.
UCAUAGGACCUACUAAGUUGUUCCUUUAGCUCAUCCAAUUUCCUGAGAAGCUCUGCUCGAUCUUUUUCAAGGUGUUGAACUUUAUUAGCCCAAUCAUGGUCAUCGUGAUGCUCUCCAUAACCAUAGGAAGAACCUACAUUGUAAUUAGAUGGGCCAUCAUCUGGGUAGUUUGAAGUAGAAAAUCUCACACCUUCAACCUCAGUUCUCAAGACUCUUUGAAACCCCUCCAUUUCACCUCUCUCCCCACACUCCCAGCCUGACAUCUGUCCUGUCCAGAUCUCCAAGACCUAUUCAUAUGUCUGAUUUCAGAAUUCAAAUUGCCAUGUUCUCUUCCCACAGCACUGCCCAAAUUAUC